GGCCAGUUAGCUCAGUUGGUAGGGCACCUGACUGGAGAUCUUAAGGGGCCCCGGGUUCGAGUCCCGGUCUGGUCU
Molecule: non-coding RNA, 75 nt
Organism: Ostrea edulis (European flat oyster)
Lineage: Eukaryota; Metazoa; Mollusca; Bivalvia; Ostreida; Ostreidae
Source: the annotation of a RefSeq genome assembly